UCCGGUCCUAAAAUCUGAUUGGCUGAGCCGCGUUCGAAGCCGUUGUAAAAUCCCCGAUAAACGCACACCUAGGACCACCUCACAUCAUUCCAUAUUAAUACGCCACUGAAUAGAGAAAGUUAAUGUUAUUUUCGCCCUCACGUUGCCUAGCAACACUGUUAAUCGGAUUACCUUGCGUCGCGGAAGAAUGCUUUAUUGGUCAUGUUGGGUCCGGAUUUUCCCAGAAUCCCCGGGCGCAAUGCAGACACACCUCGGACAGGACGUCAAUUCAUUAGCAGACACAGAUAAUCAUGUCUGUAUGUAGAUGCCCCACCAUCUGAUAGCACUGCUGAGAAUUCAAAACCUAGAUCCCAGCUGUAGUAGCGCCACACUGAACUGAUGCAUGAAGCGGAGGCCUUUGUUGGUGAAGCGAGGGCUGCUCUGGAAGGGAUGCAGGCCUCCUCUCCCAGAGGCUGUUCAGGCUUGAUGAAGGUGUUUGACGGACAGCUCUUGCAUUCUCCAGUGCCGUUUAGCAUGUAGAAGCCAGGAGAACAUGGAACACAGGCUGAGUCUGUCUUGGAGGAGUCUAGCGCACACUGACGACAGUGCGAAGCCACUCCGUCUUUUACAUUAACAAUGUAAACAGAGUAGAUCUUAGCAAAGUCUGAGCUGAACUGUUUUUCCUAUAAAGAAAAAGGACAAAUACAUAAUGCAGAAGUUUGGCACACACAAAAAGAGCGACAUUUCAAAUUUCUUCAGAAUACUUUUAGAAUACAUUUUGAA
This is a long non-coding RNA of Trichomycterus rosablanca, 762 nucleotides long. RefSeq lists it as uncharacterized. NCBI's taxonomy places the organism in Eukaryota, Metazoa, Chordata, Actinopteri, Siluriformes, Trichomycteridae. The transcript is spliced from 4 exons. The record is from RefSeq and is a predicted model, not a curated record.